GAUUUGUCAUUAAUCGCUGAGAGAGAAUCAUUGAACAUUCAGUUUGGGAAAGACUUGGUAGAAGUGUAAGAGACUUUGUGGAAGUUCGGGUUAUUGUUUAACCCAGCUUGUGUGGUAUCUGUUGAGACCAACAACGGGAUGAGCAGCGAGGGGCAAUGUUAGAGUUUGACCAGGUGAUUGGGCUGCGGAAUUAUGAGAAGAAGGGACGAGGAAACUGACGUUGAUGUUAAUUCAUGGAAGUUGGGUACAGCUGAAGUGGAAAUUGAAGUUCCACAUGUGGGCUACUUAUUAGCCAUGAUGUUGUGGUGGUGAAUAACAAGUGUAUUGUUAUCGUGCAGCAUCUCGGUGAAUAACAAGUGUAUUGUUAUUGUGCAGCAGAAACAUAUUGUGUAAAUAUGGCUGUAGUAUUUAGAGCUGAUCUGAAAUGGAGGGUGCUAACUAAUGUUAGUACAUAAUUUAGUUAGAACAAUAUAUGUAUAUAAAAGUUGAUCACGAGGAAGUGAAUCAUAAGGAUUGUGGUAUGAACUGAAACAUUUUAUAUUGAACUGUGUGGUUUUAGUAUAUUAUUUUGUGUGUUGUGAUACGUGAUAUUUUUAUAUGAAAUUAUGUGUAAAGUGGUGAUAAUGUAUGUUUAUUAUAUAUGAGAAGUGUGAGUGUUGAGGGAGUGCUGGUGAUUAGUGGUAUGUGAGAGGGAUAUAAUUAGGGUUAGUAAGUAGGAGUGGAGAAUGAAUGUGAUUGUUAUUUGUGUGCUGUAAAUAAAUGUAAUAUAAUUUA
Long non-coding RNA from Gigantopelta aegis, 774 nucleotides. RefSeq lists it as uncharacterized. The record is from RefSeq and is a predicted model, not a curated record. Lineage: Eukaryota; Metazoa; Mollusca; Gastropoda; Neomphalida; Peltospiridae. The transcript has 2 exons.